Molecule: long non-coding RNA, 2099 nt
Filed under: Setaria italica (foxtail millet)
Lineage: Eukaryota; Viridiplantae; Streptophyta; Magnoliopsida; Poales; Poaceae
Description: long non-coding RNA (SITA_LNC000653)
Source: RNAcentral
GAAGGAAGACUGAACAUCAUCAAUAUUAAGAACAAGAUUGAGUUACAAACGCGAGACAUCAGUUCACCAAAGAAACCAGGCUAGUACGAUUUUGCACAAACUAAACUAGAAAAAAAACAAUAGAGAGUCUCCACUACAGCUAAAACAACAGAAAGCGCGGCGCCACAUCGCGCUGCAGCUCCUACCUGAAUUUUUUUUCUUUUCCUUUUUUUUUGACUUCCGGUCCUGAAUAACCGCUUUGUUCCUUCAACAGAUGCGAGGUUACCAGUAUAACGAGAGUCCACACAUAUCAUCUUCCCCUUGACAGCCAUAGAGCAAGAGCACAACUGUCACCACCAGGAAUCCGCGUCUCCACCAAAGAGAUGCUGAAGGCCAGGAGGACCAGAAUGCCAGCCCCAGAGAGAAUGCGUCACCAAAUUUGUUUUCCAAAUUGGCAGGUCAGUAGGAUUUGCACAGGGGACUGGGCUAUCUCUGCAGGUGCCAUCUAGAAUUUGCAUGAAACCUUGCGUGGAUAACAGGAAUCAGGGUACACGCCAUCUUCUGAACAUACAUUGUACAGCUUCAUAUAUGCAGACACUUGCUUUGUGGCCUGAAAGAGAAUGUUCAAGUUUAACCUGGGAAGACUUUGUAGUAGACGGCAACAGAAAAAUAUUUUAGAAAUAAGGAGGUAACUGUGUUUCUUUGUCGUGUAUCUUAUCAACUUGAAGAAAAAUGCUACAAAAGAACAGAGCCUUGCUUCAGGAAAAUAUGUGAUGGAUUUUUAAAGUUAAACAACAAUUAUAGAGCUUACCAAAUGCAUAGCCUUUUACAGUUUUACCUUUUGGUUAGUGCAACAUAAACCAAGAAUUAUGUCAGCCGUGCAACAUGUCUUACUACAAAACCCCACCCACCUGUCGCCCUCAAAAAAAAAAACCCCACCCACCUGUCUUUUUAUUGCUAUGAAAAGUACAUCCGUGUUAAUCUUCAGGUGAUUCCUAUCAAAAGUACCUCUGGUGAUUUCUACCACGUCCGACGCACCUCAGAGUUCAAAAUUGCAGGUUUACUGAAGAAUUCAUAAAAUCUAGGACUUAGCUCUGAACUGAGAAGCACAACUGAGCUGGAGAUCUACACGACUCUCAUGAAUUCAUUGCAUUUCUUUCUGACCACAGCAUCCAGAGGAAGGUGACUGAGAAUGUAAGCAUCACUUCCUUUUGCAGACUGUAAAUGAGAGUGCAGUCCAGUGUUCCUCCAAUUGUGGUCACGUUUAGUUCACUCCAAAAUCCCAACUUUAGCACUAUGCAAAAAGAAGAUUCCCUAUCACAUCAAACUUGCGGUACAUGUAUGGAGUACUGAAUGCAGAUGAAAUUAAAAACUAAUUGCACAGUUUUAUUGUAAUUUGCGAGACGAAUCUUUUGAGCCUAAUUAGUCAAUAUUUGGACAAUAAUUCACAAAUACAAACGAAACGCUACAGUGUUGCUACAGUAAUUUUGACACCCCAAAGUUGGGCAACUAAACAAGGCCGUAUUUCCUUCCAGCAGGCUUGAAUUGAAUAUACUUGCAUCUAAGAAAGUGUGCCCCUAUUCAUCAAGUCAAUAUCGAUGUCCCUCCCCAUGAUUUUUGUACGCAAAGGCAGACUGUCAUGUGCUACUCGCCAUAUGAACAUUUUGAUCCUUUUUUUAAAAAAAAAAACUUAUGGAAUUUUGAUCUCUUUUUCUAAAAAAAAUGGACAUUCUGUCAUUCUGAUCUUGAAUUCUUGAUUGGGCAGCGUCAGCUCCAAAUCUUUUUUCCAAGGGGGAGCAGCAGAGAAGGAAACGUGCUUACUAAUGGGCCAGGCCUAACAUGGGCCUACUUACUAGGGACUUAUUCGUAUUCGUAUAUACCCAGCCCGAAAGCCGAAUAACUAUCCCCCACGUGGCCCUGUCCUCCUACGAUUCUGAAGAAAAAAAUCCCCUCCAAAAAAAUAGAAAGAAAGUUACCACUUUAAAAAAACACAAACCGAAAACAUGGCAUAAAACCACCGAUUGCAAGGAUCUGACCUCUAGGGUUUUAGGCUUAUUUUCUCGCCGUCGCCGCCAUGUAUGGGGACUCCGGCGAAGCACCCCCGUGACGCGGCGGCGGCC